UACGUAGGGUGCAAGCGUUGUCCGGAAUUAUUGGGCGUAAAGAGCUCGUAGGCGGCUUGUUGCGUCGACUGUGAAAACCCGCGGCUUAACCGCGGGCUUGCAGUUGAUACGGGCAGGCUAGAGUUCGGUAGGGGAGACUGGAAUUCCUGGUGUAGCGGUGAAAUGCGCAGAUAUCAGGAGGAACACCGGUGGCGAAGGCGGGUCUCUGGGCCGAUACUGACGCUGAGGAGCGAAAGCGUGGGGAGCGAACAGG
Molecule: ribosomal RNA, 253 nt
Filed under: uncultured bacterium
Lineage: Bacteria
Description: partial 16S ribosomal RNA
Rfam family: Bacterial small subunit ribosomal RNA
Source: RNAcentral